Molecule: ribosomal RNA, 434 nt
Filed under: uncultured Lachnospiraceae bacterium
Lineage: Bacteria; Bacillati; Bacillota; Clostridia; Lachnospirales; Lachnospiraceae
Description: partial 16S ribosomal RNA
Rfam family: Bacterial small subunit ribosomal RNA
Source: RNAcentral
ACGGGAGGCAGCAGUGGGGGAUAUUGCACAAUGGGGGAAACCCUGAUGCAGCGACGCCGCGUGAGUGAUGAAGUAUUUCGGUAUGUAAAGCUCUAUCAGCAGGGAAGAAAAUGACGGUACCUGACUAAGAAGCACCGGCUAAAUACGUGCCAGCAGCCGCGGUAAUACGUAUGGUGCAAGCGUUAUCCGGAUUUACUGGGUGUAAAGGGAGCGUAGACGGAUGGCUAAGUCUGAUGUGAAAGGUGAGGGCCCAACCCUUAAACUGCAUUGGAAACUGGUCAUCUAGAGUGUCGGAGAGGUAAGUGGAAUUCCUAGUGUAGCGGUGAAAUGCGUAGAUAUUAGGAGGAACACCAGUGGCGAAGGCGGCUUACUGGACGAUAACUGACGUUGAGGCUCGAAAGCGUGGGGAGCAAACAGGAUUAGAUACCCUGGUA